This 927-nucleotide ribosomal RNA is filed under the name uncultured organism. RNAcentral's name for it is "bacterial SSU rRNA". It matches the Rfam family "Bacterial small subunit ribosomal RNA", at positions 53 to 994 of the family's 1533-position model. The record is from RNAcentral.
ACAUGCAAGUCGAACGGGAACGUACCCUUCGGGGUACUAGUACAGUGGCGGACGGGUGAGUAACACGUGGUCAACGUGCCUCCGGGACCGGGAUAGCCAUCCGAAAGGGUGGGUAAUACCGGAUAAGACCACGACGUCGCAUGGCGUCGGGGUCAAAGUUUUUCGCCCGGAGAGCGGACCGCGGCCUAUCAGCUUGUUGGUGAGGUAACGGCUCACCAAGGCGACGACGGGUAGCCGACCUGAGAGGGUGGCCGGCCACACUGGGACUGAGACACGGCCCAGACUCCUACGGGAGGCAGCAGUGCUGAAUCAUUCACAAUGGGCGAAAGCCUGAUGAUGCGACGCCGCGUGCGGGAUGAAGGCCUUCUGGGUUGUAAACCGCUGUCAGGACUUAGGAAGAUCUGACCAAGUCCAAAGGAAGCACCGGCUAAAUUCGUGCCAGCAGCCGCGGUAAUACGAAUGGUGCAAGCGUUGUUCGGAAUCACUGGGCAUAAAGGGUGCGUAGGCGGCCGGAUAAGUCGGUUGUGAAAUCCCUCGGCUCAACCGGGGAAUUGCUGCCGAUACUGUCUGGCUUGAGGCUGUGAGGGGUGAGCGGAAUUCCAGGUGUAGCGGUGAAAUGCGUAGAUAUCUGGGAGAACGCCGGCGGCGAAGGCGGCUCACUGGCGCAGUCCUGACGCUGAGGCACGAAAGCGUGGGGAGCAAACAGGAUUAGAUACCCUGGUAGUCCACGCCGUAAACGAUGGGCACUUUGUAGAGGGAGGAGUCGAUCCUUUCUCUGCCGGAGCAAAUGCGUUAAGUGCCCCGCCUGGGGAGUAUGGUCGCAAGGCUAAAACUCAAAGGGAUUGACGGGGGCUCACACAAGCGGUGGAGGAUGUUGUUCAAUUCGAAGCAACGCGAAGAACCUUACCUGGGCUUGACAUGCAGGGA